AGCAAUUGACAUUAGCGACAGAAGAAGCACCGGCUAACUCCGUGCCAGCAGCCGCGGUAAUACGGAGGGUGCGAGCGUUAAUCGGAAUUACUGGGCGUAAAGGGCACGCAGGCGGUUAAUUAAGUUGGAUGUGAAAUCCCCGGGCUUAACCUGGGAAUGGCAUUCAAGACUGGUUAGCUAGAGUCUUGUAGAGGGGGGCAGAAUUCCAUGUGUAGCGGUGAAAUGCGUAGAGAUGUGGAGGAAUACCGGUGGCGAAGGCGGCCCCCUGGACAAAGACUGACGCUCAUGUGCGAAAGCGUGGCGAGCAAACAGGAUUAGAUACCCUGGUAGUCCACGCUGUAAACGAUGUCGAUUUGGAGGGCGAGCAAACAGGAUUAGAUACCCUGGUAGUCCACGCUGUAAACGAUGUCGAUUUGGAGGGGCCGCAAGGUUAAAACUCAAAUGAAUUGACGGGGGCCCGCACAAGCGGUGGAGCAUGUGGUUUAAUUCGAUGCAACGCGAAGAACCUUACCUACUCUUGACAUCCAGCGAAUCCUUUAGAGAUAGAGGAGUGCCUUCGGGAGCGCUGAGACAGGUGCUGCAUGGCUGUCGUCAGCUCGUGUUGUGAAAUGUUGGGUUAAGUCCCGCAACGAGCGCAACCCUUAUCCUUUGUUGCCAGCGAGUAGAGUCGGGAACUCAAAGGAGACUGCCGGUGAUAAACCGGAGGAAGGUGGGGAUGACGUCAAGUCAUCAUGGCCCUUACGAGUAGGGCUACACACGUGCUACAAUGGCGUAUACAGAGAGAGGCGAGCCAGCGAUGGGGAGCGGAACUCAAUCGCUAGUAAUCGCGGAUCAGCAUGUCGCGGUGAAUACGUUCCCGGGCCUUGUACACACCGCCCGUCACACCAUGGGAGUGGGUUGCAAAAGAAGUAGGUAGCUUAACCUUUUGGAUGGCGCUUACCACUUUGUGAUUCAUGACUGGGGUGAAGUCGUAACAAGGUAACCGUAGGGGAACCUGCGGUUGGAUCACCUCCUUA
This 1016-nucleotide ribosomal RNA is filed under the name uncultured Pseudomonadota bacterium. Its description in RNAcentral is "bacterial SSU rRNA". It matches the Rfam family "Bacterial small subunit ribosomal RNA", at positions 464 to 1533 of the family's 1533-position model. Lineage: Bacteria; Pseudomonadati; Pseudomonadota. The record is from RNAcentral.